This 253-nucleotide ribosomal RNA is filed under the name uncultured bacterium. RNAcentral's name for it is "partial 16S ribosomal RNA". It matches the Rfam family "Bacterial small subunit ribosomal RNA", at positions 524 to 776 of the family's 1533-position model. RNAcentral also lists the same sequence under 2 other names. The record is from RNAcentral.
UACGUAGGCAGCAAGCGUUGUUCGGAGUUACUGGGCGUAAAGGGUGUGUAGGCGGUCCUGUAAGUUUGGUGUGAAAUCUCCCGGCUCAACUGGGAGGGUGCGCCGAAAACUGCAGGGCUAGAGUGCGGGAUGGGAGAGUGGAAUUCCUGGUGUAGCGGUGAAAUGCGUAGAUAUCAGGAGGAACACCGGUGGUGUAGACGGCUCUCUGGACCGUUACUGACGCUGAAACACGAAAGCGUGGGUAGCAAACAGG